This 222-nucleotide unclassified non-coding RNA is filed under the name plant metagenome. Its description in RNAcentral is "partial contains small subunit ribosomal RNA and internal transcribed spacer 1". The stretch from base 1 to 46 matches the Rfam family "Eukaryotic small subunit ribosomal RNA", at positions 1786 to 1831 of the family's 1831-position model. The record is from RNAcentral.
AAGUCGUAACAAGGUUUCCGUAGGUGAACCUGCGGAAGGAUCAUUAUUGAAUGAAUGUAGAGUCGGUUGUCGCUGGUCCCUUCGGGGGCAUGUGCACGCCUUCUCUUUCAUCCACACACACCUGUGCACUCGUGAGACGGAAGCCCUCGGGCGUCCGUCUGCUCUACAUAAACUCAUAUCUAUAAUUCCGAAUGUAAUUGAUGUAACACACCUUUAAACUAA